AAUCAACGCUGGCGGCGUGCCUAACACAUGCAAGUCGAACGCGAAAAGGGCUUCGGCUCUGAGUAGAGUGGCGUCCGGGUGAGUAACGCGUGGGUAAUCUACCUUUGGGUGGGGAAUAACUAGUCGAAAGGCUAGCUAAUACCGCAUAACGCAAUUUUCUAUUAGGGAAUUGUUAAAGCAGUAAUGUGCCUAAAGAUGAGCCCGCGUCCGAUUAGCUAGUUGGUAGAGUAAAAGCCUACCAAGGCGACGAUCGGUAGCUGGUCUGAGAGGAUGAUCAGCCACAAUGGGACUGAGACACGGCCCAUACUCCUACGGGAGGCAGCAGUGGGGAAUUUUACGCAAUGGGCGAAAGCCUGACGUAGCGACACCGCGUGAGCGAAGAAGCCCCUUGGGGUGUAAAGCUCUGUCAGCUGGAACGAAAAAAUGACGGUACCAGCAGAGGAAGCAUCGGCUAAC
This 456-nucleotide ribosomal RNA is filed under the name uncultured bacterium. RNAcentral's name for it is "bacterial SSU rRNA". It matches the Rfam family "Bacterial small subunit ribosomal RNA", at positions 32 to 501 of the family's 1533-position model. The record is from RNAcentral.